Molecule: long non-coding RNA, 706 nt
Organism: Felis catus (domestic cat)
Lineage: Eukaryota; Metazoa; Chordata; Mammalia; Carnivora; Felidae
Exons: 2
Source: RefSeq, a predicted model, not a curated record
UCUCAUAGUUGCCUAGAUACUCCCAGCCUGAAUGCUGACAAGCUUCCCAAAGAUGAGUUUAAUUUUGUGAGAAUUCUAGAAUCAUAUCUCCAAGGAGGUUUCUUGCCACCAGAGUGUCCCUGGAGCAAAUUUGUGGACUCUAAAUAUUUUCCAGCAGAUUGUAAAUUUUGGAUAUGGUGCUAGCAAAGAGAAGAAGGGACAGCAGCAAAUUUCAGGACCACAUGGUUUCCAGUUAGAUUGUAGUCAGUGUGAUAUUUUGUAUGAUACACUGUGUUCUCUGCUCAAAGAUGUUCUUGGGAGAAAGAAGAAAGGUUGAACGUUUCUUUUGUGCCAAGUAAUGAAUAAUCAAGGGAAGAAACUGGGAAAGAAAAUCAAUUUUGGAUUUGAGUGUUAGAGAGAAGCUAGAAUUGUGAGCCCUUAUUAUGUUGGUGACACCAUCUUAACAAAGUAGAAAUGAGUUUUUCUUUCUCACUUUGCAGUGGAUGACUGAAAAUGACUUUCGAACCUGCUGCAACAGUGGCUCAGAAGAGCAGAAAGGGCAAAGGGACUGCAUUUCAUUGUUCUUCUGUACGAUUUCCCAUCCUGGAUGUAAAAGCAAAAUACUGUUUUUCCCUCUGUGCCUAUAUUUCAAUGUAUAUCAUCAUUUUCCUUGUUACACUUACAUUUUUAAAUAAAUGGUUUCCCCUAAGUGGAUGCCAUACAGAGA